ACGAACGCUGGCGGCGUGCCUAACACAUGCAAGUCGAGCGAUAUGGAUGUUGGAUGGUGAAGGUUUGAGGUUUGAAUUCUUAACGGCGGACGGGUGAGUAACACGUGAGCAACCUACCCUCAGCACGGGGAUAACAGCUCGAAAGGGCUGCUAAUACCCGAUGGGACCACGUCAUUGCAUGGUGAUGUGGUGAAAGGGUGGACGUAAGGUCCAUGCCGGCUGGGGAUGGGCUCGCGGCCCAUCAGCUAGUUGGUGGGGUAACGGCCUACCAAGGCGACGACGGGUAGCCGGCCUGAGAGGGUGACCGGCCACAGUGGGACUGAGACACGGCCCACACUCCUACGGGAGGCAGCAGCGGGGAAUCUUGCGCAAUGGGCGAAAGCCUGACGCAGCGACGCCGCGUGAGGGAAGGAGCCCUUCGGGGUGUAAACCUCUUUGGACGGGGAGAAGUAGGAGAUAGUACCCGUUUAAAAAGCCACGGCUAACUACGUGCCAGCAGCCGCGGUAAUACGUAGGUGGCGAGCGUUGUCCGGAAUUACUGGGCGUAAAGGGUGCGUAGGCGGCCUGGUAAGUUGAGCGUGAAAUUUUUGGGCUCAACCCAAAAGGAGCGUUCAAGACUGCCAGGCUUGAGUGCGGGAGAGGACGGCGGAAUUCCCGGUGUAGCGGUGAAAUGCGUAGAUAUCGGGAGGAACACCAGUGGCGAAAGGCGGCCGUCUGGACCGUAACUGACGCUGAGGCACGAAAGCGUGGGGAGCAAACACGAGUAUGAUACCCUGGUAGUGCACGCUCUAUACGAGAGGUACUAUAUGUAUGGGGGCGAAGCCCUCUUGCCGGCAGCUAGUGCACACAAGUACCCCGCCUGCGGGAGUGACGGUCGCAAGCAUUAAAACUCACUCAAAUUGACGGGGGCCCGCACACGCAAGCGGAGCAUGCAUGUUAAUUAGUUGCAACGCGAAGAACGAUCCCAGGCAGGGACAUCCAUGCCACCCUGUGGUAACAAGGGGGUGGCCUUCGGGGAACGGUGAGACAGGUGGUGCACGCAGGUGGUCAGUUGUUGUCGUGAGAUGUUGUGUUAAGUCCUGCAACGAGCGCAACCCUUGCGCGCAGUCCCCAGCAAUUCGGUUGGGCAGUCUAGACGGGGCACUUGGGUUAGCCAGGAGGAAGGUGGGGAGGGGAUGAAAUCGUCAUGCUCAAUUUGUUAUGGGCUACACACGUGGUACAACGCCCGGUACACAGAGGUGCAAACCCAGGAGGGGGAAGUAAUGUCAAAAACCGGUUCCCAUUAAAACACUAGCAUUUAACUCGCCAACAUGAAGCUGGAGUUCAUGAUAAUCGAAUAUCAGCAAAUCGCGGAUAAGCAGUUCCCGGGCAUUAUACUCCCCGCCCGUCACCCCACGAGAGCUCACAACACCCGAAUCCACUACGCUAACCGACACAGGAGGCAGCUGUUGAAGGUGGGGCUGGUGAUUGGGGUGA
Molecule: ribosomal RNA, 1476 nt
Filed under: uncultured bacterium
Lineage: Bacteria
Description: bacterial SSU rRNA
Rfam family: Bacterial small subunit ribosomal RNA
Source: RNAcentral